CCUUCUUCCCACCACCAGGCCCUGUACGACUCGACACACAAGCUUGUAUGUAUGUACAUGCAGACGAACGAGGGGUUUCCUUACCCACGAUUAUAACCACAGAAAAUUACCACCUGAUUGGUGGACCUGAAUAGCUUCUCUUGCAGUGAGAGAAGACCGCCCAGCUGGUCCCCAAUGUCCAGCUACCCUGAUAUGUACAGUGGUCCCCAGCAAAUGCUUCAAAGAUGCGUGAUUGUACAGAAAGAUGAGAAGGGAUACGGGCUAACGGUUACCGGCGACAACCCAGUAUUUAUCCAAAGUGUCAAAGAUCAUGGGGCAGCAUACAAGGCAGGAGUACAGACAGGGUAUA
Long non-coding RNA from Strongylocentrotus purpuratus (purple sea urchin), 349 nucleotides. RefSeq lists it as uncharacterized. The transcript has 4 exons. NCBI's taxonomy places the organism in Eukaryota, Metazoa, Echinodermata, Echinoidea, Camarodonta, Strongylocentrotidae. The record is from RefSeq and is a predicted model, not a curated record.